RNAcentral lists this ribosomal RNA (946 nucleotides) under Panus conchatus. RNAcentral's name for it is "LSU rRNA". It matches the Rfam family "Eukaryotic large subunit ribosomal RNA", at positions 34 to 963 of the family's 3401-position model. Lineage: Eukaryota; Fungi; Basidiomycota; Agaricomycetes; Polyporales; Panaceae. The record is from RNAcentral.
UUAAGCAUAUCAAUAAGCGGAGGAAAAGAAACUAACAAGGAUUCCCCUAGUAACUGCGAGUGAAGCGGGAAAAGCUCAAAUUUAAAAUCUGGCAGUCGUUGGCUGUCCGAGUUGUAUUCUGGAGAAGCGUUUUCCGCGCUGGACCGUGUACAAGUCUCUUGGAAUAGAGCGUCGUAGAGGGUGAGAAUCCCGUCUUUGACACGGACUACCAGUGCUUUGUGAUGCGCUCUCAAAGAGUCGAGUUGUUUGGGAAUGCAGCUCAAAAUGGGUGGUGAAUUCCAUCUAAAGCUAAAUAUUGGCGAGAGACCGAUAGCGAACAAGUACCGUGAGGGAAAGAUGAAAAGCACUUUGGAAAGAGAGUUAAACAGUACGUGAAAUUGCUGAAAGGGAAACGCUUGAAGUCAGUCGCGUCAUUCAGAACUCAGCCUGGCUUUUGCCUGGUGUAUUUUCUGGUUGACGGGCCAGCAUCAGUUUUGACCGCUGGAAAAAGGCCAUAGGAAUGUGGCACCCUCGGGUGUGUUAUAGCCUAUGGUCAUAUACAGCGGUUGGGACUGAGGACCGCAGCACGCCUUUAUGGUUGGGGUUCGCCCACAUUCGUGCUUAGGAUGCUGGCGUAAUGGCUUUAAACGACCCGUCUUGAAACACGGACCAAGGAGUCUAACAUGCCUGCGAGUGUUUGGGUGGAAAACCCGAGCGCGUAAUGAAAGUGAAAGUUGGGAUCCCUGUCGCGGGGAGCACCGACGCCCGGACCAGACCUUUUGUGACGGAUCCGCGGUAGAGCAUGUAUGUUGGGACCCGAAAGAUGGUGAACUAUGCCUGAAUAGGGUGAAGCCAGAGGAAACUACUGGUGGAGGCUCGUAGCGAUUCUGACGUGCAAAUCGAUCGUCAAAUUUGGGUAUAGGGGGCGAAAGACUAAUCGAACUAUCUAGUAGCUGGGUUCCUGCCG